RNAcentral lists this ribosomal RNA (1794 nucleotides) under Triticum aestivum (bread wheat). Its description in RNAcentral is "partial small subunit ribosomal RNA". The record is from RNAcentral. Lineage: Eukaryota; Viridiplantae; Streptophyta; Magnoliopsida; Poales; Poaceae.
AUGCCACCCGCGCCGGCGACGGCUACGGCGGCGGCGGCGGCGCAGCACCUGGAGUCCGUCCUCCCUUGCCUGACCACGCUCUCACACUACAAGCAGUUCCACGCGCAGCUCAUCACCUCGGCCCGCCUCUACUUCGAGCCCUCCCUCCGAGCCCGCUUCCUCGACCGCCUCGCGCUCUCCGCGCACGCCGCGGCGCUGCCGCACGCCCUCCUCCUCCUCCGCUCCCUCCCGUCCCCCGCCACUAACGACCUCAACGCCGCCCUCCGGGGCCUCGCCGCCUCCCCGCACCCCGCGCGCUCGCUGCUCCUCCUCGCCGGCCGCCUCCUCCCCUCGCCGUCCCCGCCGCGGCCCCGCCUCGACGCGCUCUCCCUCUCCUUCGCGCUGAAGGCCUCCGCCCGGUGCUCGGACGGCCCCGCCACCCUCCAGCUCCACGCGCUCGUCCUCCGCCUCGGCUGCACGGCUGACGUGCGGCUGAUCACCACGCUGGUCGACUCGUAUGCGAAAUGCGACGACCUCGCGUCCGCACGGAAGGUGUUCGAUGAAAUGACCGUGCGCGACGUGGCCUCGUGGAAUGCGCUGCUUGCUGGGCUGGCUCAGGGGACUGAGCCUACCCUGGCCCUGAAGCUGUUCCACAGACUGGUAGGGAGCUUCCGGGAGUUGCCACCAAGGGAGGCACCCAAUGAGGUGACCAUGGUUGCCGCGCUUUCUGCGUGUGCACAGAUUGGCUCGUUACGGGACGGAUUGUAUGUGCAUGAGUUUGUUCGCAAAAUGGGCGUCAGUGGCAAUGUUCGUGUUUGCAAUGCACUUAUUGACAUGUACUCCAAGUGCGGUUCAUUGGCCCGGGCGCUGGAAGUGUUCCACUCCAUCAAACGAGAAGACCGGACACUUGUGUCAUACAAUACUGCGAUACAAGCAAUUUCCAUGCAUGGGCAUGGGGGUGAUGCACUCAAGUUGUUUGAUGAAAUGCCGACAUGUAUUGAGCCGGACGAAGUGACCUACAUCGCUGUGUUGUGCGGAUGCAACCAUGCUGGGCUCGUGGAUGACGGCCUCAGGGUUUUUCAUGGCAUGAGGGUUCCUCCUAAUGUAAAGCACUAUGGCACUGUUGUGGACCUUCUUGGCCGUGCAGGCCGCCUUGCCGAGGCAUAUGAUACUAUUAAGUCCAUGCCGUUUCCUGCAGAUAUUGUCCUCUGGCAGACAUUACUGGGUGCGUCCAAGACGCAUGGUGAUGUUGAGCUCGCGGAGUUAGCUGCUACAAAGCUUGCCAAGCUUGGUUCAAAUGUUGAUGGUGACUAUGUGCUCCUCUCCAAUGUAUAUGCGUCCAAGGCACGGUGGGCAGAUGUUGGUCGAGUCCGUGAUACCAUGCGAAGCAAUGAUGUGCGGAAAGUACCUGGCUUCAGCUACACAGAGAUAAGUGGUGUAAUGCAUAAGUUCAUUAAUGGUGAUAAAGAGCACCCAAGGUUGCAGGAGAUUUACAGAGCGCUAGAGGAAAUUAUGUCAAGAAUAGGAGAGCUGGGAUAUGAGCCGGAAACAAGCAAUGUGCUUCAUGACAUCGGGGAGGAGGAGAAGCAGUAUGCAUUGUCCUAUCAUAGCGAAAAAUUGGCCAUUGCAUUUGGGUUGAUUGCCACGCCACCUGGGGAGACCCUGCGGGUGAUAAAAAAUCUCCGAAUCUGUGGGGACUGUCAUGUAGUGGCAAAGCUCAUAUCUAAAGCCUAUGGCCGAGUGAUUAUCAUCCGGGAUAGAGCAAGAUUCCAUCGGUUUGAAGAUGGGCAGUGCUCUUGCAGCGAUUACUGGUAA